GAUGAACGCUGGCGGCGUGCCUAAUACAUGCAAGUCGAGCGAACAGACGAGGAUCUUGCUCCUCUGACGUUAGCGGCGGACGGGUGAGUAACACGUGGAUAACCUACCUAUAAGACUGGGAUAACUUCGGGAAACCGGAGCUAUUACCGGAUAAUAUAUUGAACCGCAUGGUUCAAUAGUGAAAGACGCUUUUGCUGUCACUUAUAGAUGGAUCCGCGCCGCAUUAGCUAGUUGGUAAGGUAACGGCUUACCAAGGCAACGAUGCGUAGCCGACCUCAGAGGGUGAUCGGCGACACUGGAACUGCGACACGGUGCAGACUCCUACGGGAGGCAGCAGUAGGGAAUCUUCCGCAAUGGGCGGAAGCCUGACGGAGCAGCGCCGCGUGAGUGAUGAAGGUCUUCGGAUCGUAGAACUCUGUUAUUAGGGAAGAACAAAUGUGUAAGUAACUAUGCACGUCUUGCCGGUACCUAAUCAGAAAGCCACGGCUAACUACGUG
RNAcentral lists this ribosomal RNA (497 nucleotides) under uncultured bacterium. Its description in RNAcentral is "partial 16S ribosomal RNA". It matches the Rfam family "Bacterial small subunit ribosomal RNA", at positions 28 to 507 of the family's 1533-position model. The record is from RNAcentral.